This is a long non-coding RNA of Cephus cinctus (wheat stem sawfly), 2730 nucleotides long. RefSeq lists it as uncharacterized. The transcript is spliced from 6 exons. Lineage: Eukaryota; Metazoa; Arthropoda; Insecta; Hymenoptera; Cephidae. The record is from RefSeq and is a predicted model, not a curated record.
UAAUAGCGGACGAUUCCCGCCGCCUUGAGAUACUCAAGAUGGCGGCGAAACGUCUGAAAAAACAUGUGACAGGCAUCAAUGAACGCGCGCGGCAUCAAGGCAGAAAAUUCUAAGGAACUUUAGCUGCACUCACCAUGACAGGCUGAUAAACCUUCUCUUAAGGUACCUGUAACCUGCUUACACUCCAGGUUGGAUUAGCAUUUAUUGCAUUUAUUGUGGAUGAAAGCUGCGAAGAGACAUUCGCACAAAUUGCGGUCGACACCCUUACGAACGAACUACAAAGCAGUACUGAAUAAGAUUUCAGACUGUACUAUUCAUCCUGCCACCUAUACGAAAACAGCCUCUCACACAAAAGUAAUUAUUAUCAACACCAAAGUGCUGUCUACUAUCUACACCUUACAACAAUACAAAAUACAAUCCAUAACCCAGAAGGUAAAAAUACUAGUUACGAAUAGACAUGCGAAAUUAGUUAUGAGUAUCAUGGCGAAUAUAAGAUAUUUCCCAAGAAGUGGCACCACCAGCGAAGUGGGUGGAAUAAUUUCCACGACCAGAAGGAAGAACACGUGUAGACUAAUUAAGAUGGAUAUAGAGAGAGUCACCUGGAACGAUACAGAUAUACACAGAUUUAUCCAGACCCCAUGAAGAUUUAAGACGCCUCGGAGUAAUAAGCAGGACAAUUCCAAUUUAUUGCUGGGAUGAAGAUUCUAAGAAACGGAAAGGUGGGACGAGCGGGCAGGGGAGGAAUUUUUAAAGAUGCUGCUGCACAAGGAGGCGUACCGAGGGUGAAAAAAAUUUAAGGGGCCGAAGGAAUAAGCCGUAUAGUACCCGUGACACUUAGCCCUUAUUUUCAUUAAACAAGAUGGAUGUAUCUCGCGAGUAAAUAAGAAUCCAUUUUCAACUAUAAUAACAAUGGUAGAUGCGGUACGUUAAAAUUGUUCAAGAAAAUUAAUCAAUCAUCCAGAUGAAUUCCAAUUGUUUAUACAUUCGAGAUAAAUCAAUCAAUUAAGUUCUGUAUAUAACUAUCUGUGGCAGAAGGUAUCGUUAACGAGCUCGACAUGGAUACAUGGCUAACAGUCGUUAGGUUACAUAUCCCAUGGGAAAGUUUAACGGGGUCCAUUAACCUGCACAGUUCAUUGCAGUAUACCCGGUAGAGUUGUGAUUACAACGGGGACCUGGAAUCCUCUAGUGGCACUUAGGGACAUAAAUUUCAUACCGGUGUCAAAAUAGCUUAGUAUUCGAAUCCUACUAGGAAUCUAGGAAUCGAGUUUCUCUAAUCCUAAAUCUAUUUGGCUCUUCGAAUUACGUCCAGAGGUUUAUAUGGUACAUAUAUACCCCCUCGAGUGCCCUGCUUACUGCCCUCGAAUGUACUGCACCUUGACCACGUGAUGGAUAUUAUAUUACUCUUACCUAUAGUACGUUAUUAAACUGUACGACGUAGAAAAACAAGAUUCCCCGGUACAUAGGUGUAUGGCUGUUAGGAAAUUUCACGAAUAUAAUUUUCACCCUGACACCGUUCGCAGUCUCUCGAAUCUCUUGAAAAGUUGCAUAAGUAAACUCGUUCCGGAAGUUAUAUUUAUCCGGGUAAAGUUUGUUACUUUUUCGCUAGGGAUGGCCGAGAGCGUGUAUCGCGAAGAAAACAAGAACCCUUGACUGUUGGGAACGUACAAUGCGCAGUGGGACCUUUCAUUUUUUGCUUGUGGAGAUCCGGACUCGCAUCGAUCAUGGGGAAGUUGGUAACAGAAGAGAAGAUCUGUAAAAAUAUCUUACAGGAACAGAACGGAAAUCCGCUUUGCUGUAUUUUUCCGCACGAGUUUCCUCACUCCUGGCGCUGAAAUAAAAGUGAGCGAUGGAAGCUCCAGAAAAAUCGAUGGAAACAACGUGAAAAUCCAUAUACAUAAGCGCAUAUUAGAGCAAAGGAUAUUAUUUCCAUGACAAAAGCUGCAGGUGGCACAUUUCGAUGCUUAUUAAUCUCACAUAUUGGCUGGCCACCCUCAAAAUGGUUACCCACAGACAUAGCACAAUGGCGUCGUUUUGGUGAAUACAGAGGGAUCUUCCCUCGAUACUGGAGUGAGGUUAGGUCAAUAUUAGCUCUUCUUUCCAUACGUUUCCGUUAUCCUUACAAGAGCCAUAAGUGCCUCACUUUCUCGAUAAGCGUUACUUUUUCUCUCAGAAAUCCCCUGACGACUCGCCAAACCCUACAGGAAUGGAACCGAACGGCAAGAACUACCACUUCGAUUGAUCUUCUUCACGAGUGAAUUCGACCAACCUCAAGUAGGUUCAUUCGCCUGAACGGUUAACGGUUAGAGUGAACCUUAAGGAUUAACAUGAAGGAUCAGUGAUCGAAUAGUAAUUAGCCGUAAGAAUUUUCCACGAGAUCGUUCUGAUCAGUGGACGUGACUGGUUCGGGGAGCAGUGCUGCCACCUGGUACGUCAACGUGAAAAUGUUAGGACAUUAAACUCAAAGCUUCCCUAAUGUCAGCCUAUAAGACGGCUGAGUGCACUUGGCUUCAAACUGCCAGCAUCGCGAAGUCCAUGCUACGCGACAACAAAGACUGAUAACAGGAUAACCCAAGAAUGAAGACAGCAAUGGCGACCUCCAGGAGGACUUUUAGAAAUUCCUACGUUAAAUCAACUCCCGUAAUGCCCCCCCGAAGUCUUCUGGUCGUCGACUUUUCUGAAAACGGGAAAUUGCUUGAGGAACUUUUUCAAGUGUGUACGCCUGAUGAUUUA